Molecule: long non-coding RNA, 314 nt
Organism: Oncorhynchus tshawytscha (Chinook salmon)
Lineage: Eukaryota; Metazoa; Chordata; Actinopteri; Salmoniformes; Salmonidae
Source: Ensembl
AGAUGGCUAGUCUCCUUUGUGGCUCUAAUCUGAUAGUGGUAGUGGGGUGGUAGAUGUCUAGUCUCCUUUAUGGCUCUAAUCUGAUAGUGGUAGUGGGGUGGUAGAUGUUGAGUCUACUUUAUGGCUCUAAUCUGAUAGUGGUAGUGGGUGGUAGUGGGGUGGUAGAUGUCUAGUCUCCUUUAUGGCUCUAAUCUGAUAGUGGUAGUGGGGUGGAAGAUGUCUAGUCUUCUUUAUGGCUCUAAUCUGAUACUGUUAGUGGGGUGGUUGAUGUCUAGUCUCCUUUAUGGCUCUAAUCUGAUAGUGGUAGUGGGGUG